AGUGAACGCUGGCGGUAGGCCUAACACAUGCAAGUCGAACGGCAGCACAGUAAGAGCUUGCUCUUACGGGUGGCGAGUGGCGGACGGGUGAGGAAUACAUCGGAAUCUACUUUUUCGUGGGGGAUAACGUAGGGAAACUUACGCUAAUACCGCAUACGACCUACGGGUGAAAGCAGGGGAUCUUCGGACCUUGCGCGAUUGAAUGAGCCGAUGUCGGAUUAGCUAGUUGGCGGGGUAAAGGCCCACCAAGGCGACGAUCCGUAGCUGGUCCGAGAGGAUGAUCAGCCACACUGGAACUGAGACACGGUCCAGACUCCUACGGGAGGCAGCAGUGGGGAAUAUUGGACAAGGGGCGCAAGCCUGAUCCAGCCAUACCGCGUGGGUGAAGAAGGCCUUCGGGUUGUAAAGCCCUUUUGUUGGGAAAGAAAAGCAGCAGGUUAAUACCCCGCUGUUCUGACGGUACCCAAAGAAUAAGCACCGGCUAACUUCGU
This 491-nucleotide ribosomal RNA is filed under the name uncultured bacterium. RNAcentral's name for it is "partial 16S ribosomal RNA". It matches the Rfam family "Bacterial small subunit ribosomal RNA", at positions 29 to 506 of the family's 1533-position model. The record is from RNAcentral.